AGUGAACGCUGGCGGUAGGCCUAACACAUGCAAGUCGAACGGCAGCACAGUAAGCGCUUGCUCUUACGGGUGGCGAGUGGCGGACGGGUGAGGAAUACAUCGGAAUCUACUUUUUCGUGGGGGAUAACGUAGGGAAACUUACGCUAAUACCGCAUACGACCUACGGGUGACAGCAGGGGAUCUUCGGACCUUGCGCGAUUGAAUGAGCCGAUGUCGGAUUAGCUAGUUGGCGGGGUAAAGGCCCACCAAGGCGACGAUCCGUAGCUGGUCUGAGAGGAUGAUCAGCCACACUGGAACUGAGACACGGUCCAGACUCCUACGGGAGGCAGCAGUGGGGAAUAUUGGACAAUGGGCGCAAGCCUGAUCCAGCCAUACCGCGUGGGUGAAGAAGGCCUUCGGGUUGUAAAGCCCUUUUGUUGGGAAAGAAAAGCAGCAGGUUAAUACCCCGCUGUUCUGACGGUACCCAAAGAAUAAGCACCGGCUAACUUCGUG
This 492-nucleotide ribosomal RNA is filed under the name uncultured bacterium. Its description in RNAcentral is "partial 16S ribosomal RNA". It matches the Rfam family "Bacterial small subunit ribosomal RNA", at positions 29 to 507 of the family's 1533-position model. The record is from RNAcentral.